AGAGUGAACGCUGGCGGCAGGCCUAACACAUGCAAGUCGAACGGCAGCACAGGGGAGCUUGCUCCCUGGGUGGCGAGUGGCGGACGGGUGAGGAAAACGUCGGAAUCUGCCUAUUUGUGGGGGAUAACGUAGGGAAACUUACGCUAAUACCGCAUACGACCUACGGGUGAAAGCGGAGGACCUUCGGGCUUCGCGCAGAUAGACGAGCCGAGUCGGAUUAGCUAGUUGGCGGGUAAAGCCCACAAGGCGACGAUCCGUAGCUGGUCUGAGAGGAUGAUCAGCCACACUGGAACUGAGACACGGUCCAGACUCCGUACGGGAGGCAGCAGUGGGGAAUAGUGGACAGUGGCGAAAGCCUGAUCCAGCCAUGCCGCGUGUGUAGAAGUAAGGUCGUUACGGAUUA
Molecule: ribosomal RNA, 403 nt
Filed under: uncultured soil bacterium
Lineage: Bacteria
Description: bacterial SSU rRNA
Rfam family: Bacterial small subunit ribosomal RNA
Source: RNAcentral